This 184-nucleotide RNase P RNA is filed under the name Desulfobacteraceae bacterium. Its description in RNAcentral is "Bacterial RNase P class A". It matches the Rfam family "Bacterial RNase P class A", at positions 198 to 367 of the family's 367-position model. From Rfam's summary of the family: Ribonuclease P (RNase P) is a ubiquitous endoribonuclease, found in archaea, bacteria and eukarya as well as chloroplasts and mitochondria. Its best characterised activity is the generation of mature 5'-ends of tRNAs by cleaving the 5'-leader elements of precursor-tRNAs. Cellular RNase Ps are ribonucleoproteins. Lineage: Bacteria; Pseudomonadati; Thermodesulfobacteriota; Desulfobacteria; Desulfobacterales; Desulfobacteraceae. The record is from Rfam by way of RNAcentral.
GAUGCUUUGUAAACCCCACCUGGUGCAAGACCAAAUAGGGGGACGUUUGAGAACGGCCCGUUCAAGUUCCCGGGUAGGUCGCAAGAGGUGCCGGGCAACCGGCAUUCAUAGAUGAAUGAUCGUCAACCGGUCAAGGGGUAACUCUAACCGGAUACAGAAUUCGGCUUAUGGGUUGCUCGGACCG